Molecule: ribosomal RNA, 506 nt
Filed under: uncultured bacterium
Lineage: Bacteria
Description: bacterial SSU rRNA
Rfam family: Bacterial small subunit ribosomal RNA
Source: RNAcentral
AGAGUUUGAUCCUGGCUCAGAUUGAACGCUGGCGGCAUGCCUUACACAUGCAAGUCGAACGGCAGCACGGGAGCUUGCUCCUGGUGGCGAGUGGCGAACGGGUGAGUAAUACAUCGGAACGUACCCUGAAGUGGGGGAUAACGUAGCGAAAGUUACGCUAAUACCGCAUAUUCUGUGAGCAGGAAAGAGGGGGAUCGCAAGACCUCUUGCUUUAGGAGCGGCCGAUGUCGGAUUAGCUAGUUGGUGAGGUAAAGGCUCACCAAGGCGACGAUCCGUAGCGGGUCUGAGAGGAUGAUCCGCCACACUGGAACUGAGACACGGUCCAGACUCCUACGGGAGGCAGCAGUGGGGAAUUUUGGACAAUGGGCGCAAGCCUGAUCCAGCCAUGCCGCGUGAGUGAAGAAGGCCUUCGGGUUGUAAAGCUCUUUCGGCCGGGAAGAAAUCGCAUGGGUUAAUACCCUGUGUGGAUGACGGUACCGGAAUAAGAAGCACCGGCUAACUACGUG